This 774-nucleotide ribosomal RNA is filed under the name uncultured Neocallimastigales. Its description in RNAcentral is "partial large subunit ribosomal RNA". It matches the Rfam family "Eukaryotic large subunit ribosomal RNA", at positions 26 to 644 of the family's 3401-position model. Lineage: Eukaryota; Fungi; Neocallimastigomycota; Neocallimastigomycetes; Neocallimastigales. The record is from RNAcentral.
CGCAUCUGUGCAUGCAGCAUAUCAAUAAGCGGAGGAAAAGAAACUAACAAGGAUUCCCUUAGUAACGGCGAGUGAAGCGGGAAGAGCUCAAAUUUGAAAUCUUCAAGGUUUUACCUUGACGAAUUGUAGUUUAAAGAAGUGUUUUCUGUUGAAGUUUUGGUAAAAGUUCUUUGGAAUAGGACAUCAUAGAGGGUGAGAAUCCCGUAUUUGACCAUUAUUUUCAGCUGUGUGAUACACUUUCAAAGAGUCGGAUUGUUUGGGAAUGCAGUCCAAAAUGGGUGGUAAAUUUCAUCUAAAGCUAAUUAUUGGCGAGAGACCGAUAGCGAACAAGUACCGUGAGGGAAAGAUGAAAAGAACUUUGAAAAGAGAGUUAAACAGUACGUGAAAUUGUCAAAAGGGAAGCGUUUGACACCAGUGUUGUUUUCUCGAAAAUCAAUUAAAAAGAGUUAGAUUUUGUUGUGUAUUGACCUUAACAGCUUGCAUUUCAAUUUUCUUGCUUUUUUUAAUGCACUUUUCGUUUAACAAGUCAACAUCAGUUUCUUUUGUUGUAAAAAGGUCAUUGGAAGGUGGCUUUCUUUUCGGAGAAAGUGUUUAUAGCCUUUGACUCCUGCAAUCGGAGAGACUGAGGUCUGCAGCGUAGAUCCUUCGGGGUUAGAUACAUUUGUGCUAAGUUAUAGCUUUUUAUAGACAACUUGUUGACUAUGAUUAGUCUUGUAGCUUACUCGCUUAUGCUAUUUUACCUACGCUUAGGAUGUUGACACACGCGCGUGCUCG